GCUAGCAGCCAUAUCGCCCUGCAACUGUCUGAAGCUCAGCAGGUGUGAGUCUGGUCAGUACCUGGAUGGGAGACCUCCUGGGAAAAACUAAGGUUGCAGCUGGAA
This 105-nucleotide ribosomal RNA is filed under the name Lepisosteus oculatus (spotted gar). Lineage: Eukaryota; Metazoa; Chordata; Actinopteri; Semionotiformes; Lepisosteidae. The record is from RNAcentral.